Molecule: non-coding RNA, 74 nt
Organism: Rhododendron griersonianum
Lineage: Eukaryota; Viridiplantae; Streptophyta; Magnoliopsida; Ericales; Ericaceae
Source: the annotation of a GenBank genome assembly
GGGCUAGUAGCUUUGAGGAUUAGAGCAUGUGGCUACAAACCACGGUGUCAUGGGUUCAAAUCCCUCCUCACCCA